AUACGUAUGUCCCGAGCGUUAUCCGGAUUUAUUGGGCGUAAAGCGAGCGCAGACGGUUUAUUAAGUCUGAUGUGAAAGCCCGGAGCUCAACUCCGGAAUGGCAUUGGAAACUGGUUAACUUGAGUGCAGUAGAGGUAAGUGGAACUCCAUGUGUAGCGGUGGAAUGCGUAGAUAUAUGGAAGAAUACCAGUGGCGAAGGCGGCUUACUGGACUGCAACUGACGUUGAGGCUCGAAAGUGAGGGUAGCAAACAGGAUUAGAUACCCUGGUAGUCCACACCGUAAACGAUGAACACUAGGUGUUAGGAGGUUUCCGCCUCUUAGUGCCGAAGCUAACGCAUUAAGUGUUCCGCCUGGGGAGUACGACCGCAAGGUUGAA
This 377-nucleotide ribosomal RNA is filed under the name uncultured bacterium. Its description in RNAcentral is "bacterial SSU rRNA". It matches the Rfam family "Bacterial small subunit ribosomal RNA", at positions 523 to 898 of the family's 1533-position model. The record is from RNAcentral.